AGGAGCUAUCGCUUACUUCCGGUAUACUUCCGGAAAAUUUGCAUGAAACUAACAAGUGAGCUUUGUUCUCUGUAAAAUUCUAAAGAUUCCAUGCUAAUUUAAGCAAAGAGAAAUGGUCUUUUUGAUUACUUUUAUGACUUGUGACUAUCUAAGGCCAGUCCUUUAGAAAUUGAGUUUUGAACGUGUCAAAUAGAUGGCGUGAAAGAAUGUUGUUUGUUGUGUCACAUAUGGGUUAAUGGCAGUUCGUUGUCAAAAGUUCAGCUACAGCUAUCUUCUUCGUAAAUUACCAAUGAAUUCGUUGGUAAAUUGACUAGAUUUCCUGUGCAGUUUGUUUGGCAUGUGUUGUUUACCGGAUAUGUGUCUAAUAAGUAAUAACAUCAUUAUUUCUACUCCAUUUCCAGGAAAAAAUGUGAAAGGUGCAUGAAGCCAGUACCAUCAACUAUUGUGUUAAAAAUCCUGGUAUCCUACGGAAUAUGUCAUCCAAAUGACAGAGUGGAUUCAUCACUAUUAUCGGCUGAAUCAUUCUAUGGGACUUGCCAGAUCACCAACCCAAGCAUGGACCAAUUUCUCAUUCCAUCUUCUAGAGAAUCUUACAUAACUGAUUGGUGGUUUAGUGUGUUUUAGGUUUCUAAUGUAGCAUGAUAGACUUUAUGAGAAGUCAUGUUAUUUGAAGAAAAAGGACUAUACAGUCGACAAGGUUUUUUGCUAACCCGUUGGCUGCUACCCUUGAAUCUCCCUGUUUACUUCCUUACACAGGUCCUCUUGAUUUGAGGGUAAUCCUUCGCUACUGAUCAUACACCCACUUGUGAAAACCGACAAGAGAAUGCUGUAAUUCAAGACUGAUACAUUGUGUAGUUGUUAGAUAAA
This is a long non-coding RNA of Daphnia pulex (common water flea), 867 nucleotides long. RefSeq lists it as uncharacterized. The transcript has 4 exons. The record is from RefSeq and is a predicted model, not a curated record. Lineage: Eukaryota; Metazoa; Arthropoda; Branchiopoda; Diplostraca; Daphniidae.